RNAcentral lists this non-coding RNA (31 nucleotides) under Rattus norvegicus (Norway rat). Lineage: Eukaryota; Metazoa; Chordata; Mammalia; Rodentia; Muridae. The record is from RNAcentral.
UGCCAAUUGCUAGUCUUGAGUAAGGACCAGU